RNAcentral lists this long non-coding RNA (222 nucleotides) under Elaeis guineensis (African oil palm). RNAcentral's name for it is "long non-coding RNA (EGUI_LNC023779)". The record is from RNAcentral. Lineage: Eukaryota; Viridiplantae; Streptophyta; Magnoliopsida; Arecales; Arecaceae.
UAUCCUGCAUCCUCAAGAUGUAUAGAAUUCUUUAGCAGUGGUCUCAGAUGAAACAUUAAAGAGGAUUGACUCAUCAAAUAGCAGAUAAAGAUUAGCCAUGCCAUCUUGUCCCUCUUAAUGAACUCUAUCUUCAAAUGCCAUGUUGUGCCCAUCUUUCACCAAUAUGGUUUGCAUCUUUGACUUCCAGAGUACAAAGUUGAUUUCAUUACAUCUUGGAAUUUC